CGCGUUUUUGGAGGAAAGCAGGGGAUCGCAAGACCUUGCGCUUUUGGAGCGGCCGAUGUCUGAUUAGCUAGUUGGUGGGGUAAAGGCUUACCAAGGCAACGAUCAGUAGUUGGUCUGAGAGGACGACCAGCCACACUGGGACUGAGACACGGCCCAGACUCCUACGGGAGGCAGCAGUGGGGAAUUUUGGACAAUGGGCGAAAGCCUGAUCCAGCCAUGCCGCGUGAGUGAAGAAGGCCUUCGGGUUGUAAAGCUCUUUCAGUCGAGAAGAAAAAAUUGCGACCAAUAAUCGCAAUUCAUGACGGUAUCGACAGAAGAAGCACCGGCUAACUACGUGCCAGCAGCCGCGGUAAUACGUAGGGUGCAAGCGUUAAUCGGAAUUACUGGGCGUAAAGGGUGCGCAGGCGGCCUUGUAAGUCAGAUGUGA
RNAcentral lists this ribosomal RNA (427 nucleotides) under uncultured ammonia-oxidizing beta proteobacterium. RNAcentral describes it as "bacterial SSU rRNA". It matches the Rfam family "Bacterial small subunit ribosomal RNA", at positions 179 to 597 of the family's 1533-position model. Lineage: Bacteria; Pseudomonadati; Pseudomonadota; Betaproteobacteria. The record is from RNAcentral.